AUACGUAGGGGGCGAGCGUUGUCCGGAAUGAUUGGGCGUAAAGGGCGCGUAGGCGGCGCGGUAAGUCUGGAGUGAAAGUCCUGUUUUUAAGAUGGGAAUUGCUUUGGAUACUGUCGGGCUUGAGUGCAGGAGAGGUAAGUGGAAUUCCCAGUGUAGCGGUGAAAUGCGUAGAGAUUGGGAGGAACACCAGUGGCGAAGGCGACUUACUGGACUGUAACUGACGCUGAGGCGCGGAAGUGUGGGGAGCAAACAGGAUUAGAUACCCUGGUAGUCCACACUGUAAACGAUGAAUGCUAGGUGUAGGGGGUAUCGACCCCUUCUGUGCCGCAGUCAACACAAUAAGCAUUCCGCCUGGGGAGUACGGCCGCAAGGUUGAAACUCAAAUGAAUUGACGGGG
This 397-nucleotide ribosomal RNA is filed under the name uncultured bacterium. RNAcentral describes it as "partial 16S ribosomal RNA". It matches the Rfam family "Bacterial small subunit ribosomal RNA", at positions 523 to 918 of the family's 1533-position model. The record is from RNAcentral.